RNAcentral lists this ribosomal RNA (303 nucleotides) under uncultured bacterium. RNAcentral describes it as "partial 16S ribosomal RNA". It matches the Rfam family "Bacterial small subunit ribosomal RNA", at positions 507 to 807 of the family's 1533-position model. The record is from RNAcentral.
AGCAGUAGCCGCGGGAAUACGAAGGGGGCUAGCGUUGCUCGGAAUUACUGGGCGUAAAGGGAGCGUAGGCGGACAUUUAAGUCAGGGGUGAAAUCCCGGGGCUCAACCUCGGAAUUGCCUUUGAUACUGGGUGUCUUGAGUAUGAGAGAGGUAUGUGGAACUCCGAGUGUAGAGGUGAAAUUCGUAGAUAUUCGGAAGAACACCAGUGGCGGAGGCGACAUACUGGCUCAUUACUGACGCUGAGGCUCGAAAGCGUGGGGAGCAAACAGGAUUAGAUACCCCUGUAGUCCCUGUCUCUUAUAC